Humulus lupulus (European hop) is the source of this 192-nucleotide long non-coding RNA. RefSeq lists it as uncharacterized. The transcript has 2 exons. Lineage: Eukaryota; Viridiplantae; Streptophyta; Magnoliopsida; Rosales; Cannabaceae. The record is from RefSeq and is a predicted model, not a curated record.
CUUAGAAGAAACCUUGAUGUCAUAGAAAUACUUAAAAACACUCAAUUUCCCAGGAUUUGCAGAUCUCCAUAUAGUAGAAUACCUGAGAAAAUUCUUGAUCAUGAUCGGAUCAUAUGGCUUGGGGACCUGAACUACCGGAUUUCCUUGAGCUACUCUGACACCCGGAAACUUCUAGAGGCCAAAAACUGGGAU